Molecule: RNA transcript, 2267 nt
Organism: Lycium barbarum (goji berry)
Lineage: Eukaryota; Viridiplantae; Streptophyta; Magnoliopsida; Solanales; Solanaceae
Gene name: pentatricopeptide repeat-containing protein At3g04130, mitochondrial
Exons: 4
Source: RefSeq, a predicted model, not a curated record
ACCCCUCCUCCCCUCUUUCUCAGGCGAUUUAUUUUUGCUCUAGGUUCCGCCGUCGAUGGCCAAUUUAGGCCAAUCCACGGCUGUUCUUCACCAGAUUUUUGAGGGGCUUUGUUCCCUGUCACGAGUUCUCACCACUUUCAGGGACGAGAAAUACUUUGCCGUGUUAUCGGCCAACACCAAUUUGGGAUUGAGUCAUAGUUCUCGUUGUUGUAUUGUGUGGUACUGAUACUAGUCUCAUGAACUUCUAUCUUAGAAAACUAACCACUAGACACUUAUCUGUUUCUCUCCCGUUUGGCGUUUGUAACAUUUCCAAUGUAGCCUGUAGAAGUUGCUUUAGCUACUUUUCCACCCUGUCUAGUGAUUUUCGUUUCGAAAGUCCCCAGAACUGCGUGAACGUGGCAGGAGAUUCUGAUAUUAAUGUUGUACUUGCUAGAAUAAAUCCUGGAAGCAGUGAGGCUGAGGUUGUCCAAUCAUUGCUUUCUGACCCGGAUUGUGAUUCCAUAAAGAUCACUGAUAACUUUGUUGGUAGGGUGCUUUAUCGGUUUAAAGAUGACUGGAAAUCUGCACUUGGUGUUUUUAGAUGGGCACAAUCACGUCCCGACUACAAGCCCUCACCGGAAUUGUACGAUAAGUUGGUGGAUAUACUGGGGAAGAUGAAGAAAAUGGAAAAGAUGCAUUCUUUGAUAGACGAAAUGCAUGCAGGCCAUCUUAUUUCUCUUAAUACAAUAGCCAAAGUUAUGAGAAGGUUUGCGGGUGCAGGAGAGUGGAAAGAAGCAGUGAGGACAUUUGAUGAGCUGGGAAAAUUCGGUUUGGAGAAGAAUACGGAAUCAAUGAAUUUGUUACUUGAUACUCUGUGCAAAGAAAAUAGAGUCCAACAGGCGCGUGAAAUCUUCUACGAGCUCAAGUUGCAUAUCCCACCAAAUGCAAACACGUUUAACAUUUUUAUUCAUGGUUGGUGCAAAGCUAAUCGGGUAGAAGAAGCGUACUGGACAAUUCAGGAGAUGAAAGGCAGUGGUUGUUGUCCAUGCGUCAUCAGCUACUCAACCAUUAUCAAGUCCUACUGCCAGCAAUUUAACUUCCAGAAAGUCUACGAGCUUCUCGAUGAAAUGCAAGGACAAGGAUGUCUACCAAAUGUUGUCACUUUCACCACCAUCAUGUGCUUCUUGAAAAAGUCAGGGGCAUUUGAGGAAGCCCUUAAGAUUGCUGAGAGGAUGAAAUCAGUUGGCUGUAAACCUGAUACACUUUUUUACAAUGCUCUGAUUCAUACAUUAGGCGUGGCACACCGAUUACAAGAAGCUACUCGUGUUUUGAAGGUUGAAAUGCCCAGAAAUGGUGUUCAACCCAAUACAUCGACUUACAAUACUAUCAUUGCCAUGUUUUGCCAUCAUUUGCAAGAGGAAAGAGCACUAGAAUUUUUAAGGGAUCUGGAAAGUUCACCAGUUUGUAAACCUGAUGUUCAGUCAUACUUUCCGCUGCUGAAGUUGUGGUUUAAAGUUGGAAAGUCAGAUGAAUUCCUGAAAAUAUUGGUGAAUGACAUUGUUAAUAAGCAUCAUCUAAGUCUUGACCUAUCAAGUUAUGCACUUCUUAUCCACGGUUUGUGCAGAGCAAAUAAAUGUGAAUGGGCCUAUCUUAUUUUUGAAGAUAUGAUCCGCCAAGAGAUUACUCCUCGAUACAAGACAUGCAGUGUAUUGCUGCAGGAAGUUAAAAAAAAGAAUAUGUAUGAUGCUGCUGAUCGGAUUGAAUUGUUCAUGAAGAAAAUGAAGACUGCCUGAACAUUUCCUGGAAACUAAUUUGAUGAUUCAUUUAUCAAGUAGCAAGUUUCUGUUCUUGUGUGCCUGCAGCUUUCCGCAGAUUGUUGAAUUUGAAAUGUUGAUUUCUUGAUCUGGCAUAACACUUAAAUCUGGGAAUAGUUGCUGUAGCUGUUGCUCCGGUUUGGACAGCACCGCUCAAGCUCUUGGUAUCAUUCUUCAUCUUCUGAAAACAAUAGAUCAUCUGAUAGUGUGCGAAAUACUGGUGCUGCUACGUUUAGGCAAGCUGUAGCAUUGAUAUUGGAUCGUGUGAUUUCUACUGAGUCACUUCCAGCCGGGAAAUUUUGUGUAACUAUAAUGCGCUCAUGCCUCAUGGUGAUUCAGCAACUUAAUAGAUGCCUAUUGGGUGGUCUGGCCUGUCUUUGCUCUUGAACAUACCUACUAUGUUAACUGUGUGUUAUGCUCCCUCUGUCUAUGCCUGUAUAUUUAGUCAUUAUUAGUAUUGCACCUACGCCAAUC